GGCGAUCCUUGAAAUGAGUAAGACUCAGAGUUGUUAAAGUUUUCAAAGCGCGGCAGCGGCUCUUGGGGAAAAGGAAGCGAGUUGGAGGGAGCCUGGCCAAGCCGAGGAUGGAGGAUCGCGCUGAGCUGAACUCAGCUGGGGUUCUGUGCUCAAGGCAGGAAUUCUGACACUCCCAAGAGACUGGAUCUGCCUCCUUGGCUCAGCUCACCCUACCAUGCAGACUUUGCCCCUCCAGAUCAGGAUUGGAGUUUUAAAAUAAAAUGGAUGAUUUGACGUUACUUGAUCUUCUGGAGUGCCCCGUGUGCUUUGAAAAGCUCGACGUCACAGCCAAAGUCCUCCCUUGCCAGCACACCUUCUGCAAACCAUGUCUCCAGAGGAUUUUCAAGGCUCACAAGGAGCUGAGGUGCCCCGAAUGCAGGACCCUGGUGUUUUGCAGCAUCGAAGCUCUGCCAGCCAACCUGCUGCUCGUGCGUCUUCUAGAUGGUGUGCGCUCAGGGCAGAGCUCUGGAAGAGGGGGCUCCUUCCGCAGGCCUGGUGUGCUGACCUCGCAGGACAGCAGGAAAAGCAGGACUGACCCCAGAGGUCUGCAGUCCAGCCCUUUCCGACUGGUGCCUAAUAUCAGAAUCCACAUGGAUGGGGUGCCUCGAGCAAAGGCCUUAUGCAACUACCGAGGGCAGAAUCCUGGUGACCUGAGGUUUAAUAAGGGAGAUGUCAUCCUUCUCCGGAGACAGCUGGAUGAGAACUGGUACCAGGGGGAGAUCAAUGGAGUCAGUGGCAUCUUCCCAGCCAGCUCCGUGGAAGUCAUCAAACAACUUCCCCAGCCACCCCCACUGUGCCGGGCCCUCUACAACUUCGACCUACGAGACAAAGACAAGAGUGAGAACCAGGACUGCCUGACCUUCCUCAAGGAUGAUAUCAUCACUGUGAUCAGCCGAGUGGAUGAGAACUGGGCAGAAGGCAAGUUAGGGGAUCAAGUAGGCAUCUUCCCGAUCUUGUUUGUAGAGCCAAACCUCACUGCAAGACACCUCCUAGAGAAGAACAAAGGCCGGCAGUCAGCCCGCACAAAGACCCUGUCCCUGGUGCCCUCAUCCUCCCGAGGCAAAGCAAACAACACGCCCACCCUCCGCAGGGGCCCUGGAUCCAGGAGGAAGGGACCUGGGCAGUUCUCCAUCACAACAGCCUUGAACACUCUCAACAGAAUGGUUCAUUCUCCCUCUGGGCGCCAUAUGGUAGAGAUCAGCACUCCGGUGCUCAUCAGCUCCAGCAACCCUUCUGUGAUCACCCAGCACAUGGAGAAAACAGAUAUUCCUCCCAGCUCUGUGGGACAGGUCAGCACUUACCACCCUGUACCCGCCUCCCCAGGACAUUCCACAGCCAUCGUCAGUCUUCCUGGAUCCCAGCAACACCUCUCCGCCAACAUGUUUGUAGCCCUGCACUCCUACUCAGCCCACGGACCAGAUGAGCUGGACCUGCACAAAGGAGAAGGCAUCAGGGUCCUGGGGAAGUACCCAGAUGGCUGGCUCAGGGGUGUCUCCUUGGUCACUGGGCGGGUCGGCAUCUUCCCCAACAACUAUGUCAUACCCAUUUUCAGAAAGACAUCUAGUUUUCCAGAUUCUCGGAGUCCUGGUCUCUACACCACAUGGACAUUAUCCAACUCCUCUGUGUCCUCCCAAGGCAGCAUUUCAGAAGGUGAUCCCCGGCAGAACCGUCCCUUCAAGUCCGUCUUUGUGCCCACUGCCAUUGUCAACCCUGUGAGGAGCACAGCCAACCCGGGGACUUUAGGACAGGGCUCUCUUCGGAAAUCCGGGCGGAGCAGCAUGAGAAAGAGUAAGUGGUGGCAGAGAGAUGGAUCCCUGCAGAGACCUGCCCAGUCAGGGAUCCCCACCCUUGUGGUGGGCUCCCUCAGACACAAUCCCACCAUGGUCGUUCGGCCUCAGCAGUUCCAGUUCCACCAGCCACAGGGGGUCCCCUCCUCACCUUCAACAGUGGUGGCAGAGCUGGGACCUAAGCCCACUCCCACUGGAGAGCCUGCCCUCACGUGCGUCAGCAGGGGCAGCGACACCAGGAUCCGCUCAGCAGCCAGUUCCCUCAUCAUGGAAGGCAAGGAAAUCCCCAUCAAGAGUGAGCCUCCACCUAAACCACCUGCAUCUGCCCCACCAUCAAUCCUGGUGAAACCAGAAAACUCAAGAAACGGCAUUGAAAAGCAAGUCAAAACCGUGAGAUUUCAGAAUUACAGCCCUCCUCCUGCCAAGCAGUACACCUCCCAUCCCACCUCAGGAAAGCCUGAACAGCCUGCCACCCUGAAGGGGUCCCAGCCUGAAGCAGCCCCCUCAGGCCCAGAGAUGACCGUCCUAUUCGCCCACCGAAGCGGCUGCCAUUCUGGACAGCAAACAGACCUCCGAAGGAAGUCAAGUUUGGGCAAGACCAUGACCCCGGUGCCCGCUGCCUCGGCCAUACAGACCGUGUUCCCCAGCAAAUGAAUCUACAGGUGGCUUUUCUCAGACCCCAAAGAGGAAUGAUAAUUGUGCCAGUCUCAUUGGGCUAUCGUGAGGAUUAACUGACAUAAUAUUAUGAAGUGACAUAGUACACACCUCACACAUGUCAGACUUGAAUGCUUUUAAGGAAACAGGCCACUGACAUUCCAGACCCUGCCUUGGUCAUCUUCCCAGGAGGAGCUAGCAACAGUUGGGAGACCAAAGAGAACAAAUCAUCUCCUUGGAUGGAAACUGCUCAAUGGAGAGUUUGUGGGCCUUGUGAUAUUCCUUGGACGUCAGGGGUGGUACCAGAAUACCAACAGGCUGGCUUCUGGGACAGAAGGGCAAUAGGAGAAGAAAAAAAUUUGUCUUCAACCAGCGCAUCAGUGGGUGGUGGGGUCAGGUUGGGGAACAGCACGUAAGCUGCUCCAGGUUACCACAGACUCCCCACCCUCCUGUUACUCUGUUCUGUUGUCCGAGCCAAACUUUAUCUUGCCAGCUUCUCACACCUUGGCACCUAACUGACAAAUGAAAAGACUGGACAUCAAAUUCCUUCCAGCUCUGUGCCUGGCCAGUCCCUGCAGCUCACAUUUGGAACAGUGAAGGCAGGGGAUGGUAUAAGAUUCUCCUCUUAGAUAGUCAAGCCAGAGAGGCCAGUGCUUCUUCACAACACCCCUAGCUUUGACUCCCUCUCCUGACUCCCACCAAUCAUCCUGAGCCCUUCCACCACACCUUUGUUCUUUUUCCGUCUGAUCCCAUGCCAUCUUUUCUCCCCGACACUGUCUGAUCAAGAGGGUUUCUUUUAGAACAUACUGAUUAAGGAAAUGAGGACUUAGUACAUAAAGAAUUCCAGAAGAAAAAAAUCCAUGAUGUAAUAAGAGAGCUACCACAGACUACAGAGAGGCUAUUUGAAGUAUAAAGAUAUAAAAUCAGUUACAACCAUGCAUUCUUUUUUGUUCAGAAAUAAGUCGUCUUAAAGGACUGGUCAUUAGAAGAACUCCUAUGCCUGGUUUCAAAAAACUAAAAUACAAAUUUUACACCCAACAUGGGAUUCAGACUCACAACCCUGAGAUCAAGAGUUGCAUACUCUCCCACCUGUGCCAGCCAGGUGCCCCUACCUUAAACACAAAUUUUAAAUUAUCUGUAUUAAGCAGAGCAAGCCAUGGUACCAAUAAAUGUGAUUCAGAUGUACCCUGAGACUCUUCAAGCCAUACAUUUUCAUCUCCUCCCCUAUCUUAAGACAUCGAUGAGAAUUUCAUUUUUAAAAGCACAUGCCACCCUGAUUAUUAAAGAUAAGACAAUAAUACAGCAGCAUUUGGAUAUGUUGGUCGUUUAAAAGUUCAGGAUGAUAAUUUUGCUCUGAAACCACCUCAGGCUUUCAUGCAGUCCUGUUUGUAAGCAGGAGCAAGCAUCAGCCAAACCAUGAGCAGAGUAAGGAAUGCAUUUUGUGGUUAAAGGAAUGUUUUCUGCUAUGUGAAGCUGCCACAUGCAGGACUCAAACUAGCACCAGUCUCUUAAUUAAAUGAGCAACCUGGACUUUUUAACCACACCCUACCUUCAGUUAACCCCAGAGGAAAGUGAUAAUAAGCACCAGCAACCGCAAAGUAUUGGCUUUAUCUGCCAGGUGGUGAGUGAGAAGCUAAGAGGUAUGGAGAGACCACAGAAAGGGUAAUUCAAGGAUGACACAGCCUCUCACACAUGGUCAGUGAUUCUGUUGCCAGUUGUCUGUCAUCCCUUUUAACUACUCUGACUCAAUGUUGGCUCCAUUUCCUCUGGGAUGCAUUCAGGUUUGGUUGGCUCCUCUAGCCCCAGCAGCAAAGAAUCUAGAGAUGCUGCCUUCAGACUCUGGGAUCUACUUGUCACUACCAUGAGGCCUUACAGCCCACCUUUACAUAGGUUUCAGUGACUUCAUUUUCCAGAGAAAAGUCAUUUGAAUUCAGAGAAGGAAUUUUACUUUUAUAGAUGAUAUUUGGAAAGGUGAAGUAUAGGCAAGCUGCCCACACAGAAGCAUGUUGUAUAAACUAGGGAGUUGGGGUGAGCGGUGGACACACAACAACGUUUAGUCCCCAGAAACCAUUAAACCAUAUUAGCUAAUUACAGCCUUGUGUUCAAGAGCCUCUCAUUCCCAUUUGCUGCUUCUCACAUUUUCUUUCUUCUUCCUCUCCCAUUGAGGCAACAGGAGAUCACCACUCCUAAUUUGUACACUUGCUGUUUUUUAAGUCUCUGGGAACUUUCCAGGACUUACCAAGUGGAAGGUUUUAUGGAAAUGUAGCUUUUCCUUUGACUCUGCUUAGCCAAUAGACCAAAUAUUUUUUUAAAAACCUCAAUGAAAAAUCUGGUUUGUUUCCAACCAAACAGGAGCUUAAGAAAAGCACCACCACCCACCCCUGUUUCCUAAAGUUUUCAUCUCUGAACUGUCAGUUCCACCAUAUGGAUUCCAAAACAUCAUGGGCCAAAAAGCAGUGGAAGGGGUGGGGAAGCGGUGAGGAUGAAGUAGAAUGGUCAGAAUGAGGUCAGCCCAGAAAUUUACCCUAGAAUAGUUUGCUAACCAGAGUCUGGGUUUCAUCUUCUGGAAUUGUUUCUUCUUAUUCCAUGUGGCUCGGGGAGAGGGUGCCAUUUAGGGGAAAAAGUGGAAAGACAAAAUGGAAGGGGAGAAAAAUUCACACCUCCAUGGAAAUGUAAGCAGAGAACCUAUAGACUCUUGUGUCAUGUUUGUUUUAUUUUUUUUAAGUACAGUGUUUUUAAUAGACCAAAAGAGAAUCUUUAUGAGGUAAUACGUAUGUGAAUGAUGUUUAUAAAAAAGGAUGUAAUAUCUUAACCAUUAUGGACUAUUGUAUAAGCUUAGAUAUAUAAAAUAUAGGAACCUACAAAAAUUAUUUUAUAGAGCAAUGGACACUUAAGGACUUCCAAAGUUUUCAUAUCCUUGUUCCAAAAAAAAAAAAAAAAGUAAGUUCCAAGGCUGGCAGCUUAUUUCCUUAGUAUAUUCCACUGUAAAGGCAAGAAGUGUGGUGGGGUUUUAUGUGUUUUCUAGUUUUGUAAUUUAUGAUUGUCUGUAUGGAUUGCUUUGAAAUGUCUAUUGCUUGUGUGUUAGUGUUGUUCGCCCACGUGGGAGUCAUCAGAGAUCCAUUCCACACUUUGCAUCUUGGAAAACCAAAAGGAAUUUUCUGGUGGAAAGAAAAAUUCACAGAACAUGUCUUCACUGUUGGGAAACCCUCAGAUCUGUACCACUGACAGCUCUUUGCAAGUCUGAGGAAAUGGGAAGUUUAACACCAGAGUUGUUGUCUCUCACUUAAAUAUUGGAUGUUGGCUAACUUUUCUCUUGGGAAGAAAGCAUAUAUUUUUAGUAAGUCCUUUUUUUUCUUGCACUUGACAUGGUCUAGAGGAAACCAGAAGUCAGGGCCCUAAGCUGCAUUGCCUCGGGACCACUCUCCACCAUAGUUUUCAAAGAACCGUCCACGUAUCAAUUCUGUUUUCUGUUCCGUGCUUCACUGGCAGAACCAGUGCUCUCUGGAGCCUAGUUUUGUUUGGGUUUGCGGUUCUAAUGAGGUGUUGAGUUUGCUCUUUACCGGCCAGACUGAGGAAAGGAAGCCAAGGGAGACAGGCAUUCCCUGGCUGGACAGGUCCACCUGUACCUCCCACCAGCACAGGAGACCCACACCAGAGACCAGGGCCUGCAGGACCGUCUGCCCUCCACCAGGGAAGGGCCCAUCAGCCAAAGUGGGGACAGUACCCAAGCCUCCUUCAUCAGAAAUGCAUACUGUCCCCAGCUGCAAGCUUGGGAAGCCCGAUGUGUGUUUUAGCAUGAACAAUAAAAUUGGUUUAGUUGUC
Canis lupus familiaris (dog) is the source of this 6302-nucleotide RNA transcript. It is a transcript of the gene named SH3 domain containing ring finger 2, with no coding region annotated. The transcript is spliced from 12 exons. NCBI's taxonomy places the organism in Eukaryota, Metazoa, Chordata, Mammalia, Carnivora, Canidae. The record is from RefSeq and is a predicted model, not a curated record.